Molecule: long non-coding RNA, 216 nt
Organism: Oncorhynchus masou masou (cherry salmon)
Lineage: Eukaryota; Metazoa; Chordata; Actinopteri; Salmoniformes; Salmonidae
Exons: 3
Source: RefSeq, a predicted model, not a curated record
AGAGAAGUCUCCAGGAGCUGAUCCAGUCUACUCUGCAGUGAAGACCUCCAACACCACAGUUCCAGGUGGAUCCGGUCCAGGUGAUGUGACCUAUGCUGACAUCAACCACACUGAUAAGAGACAACACAACAGGAGGAGAGAGAACGUUGUUCCAGACCCUGUCUACUCAGCAGUGAAGACAGACAGACAGAGAUAGGGGUCAGUAGGUCGUUCCAG